RNAcentral lists this ribosomal RNA (428 nucleotides) under Bacteroidota bacterium. RNAcentral describes it as "Bacteroidetes bacterium partial 16S ribosomal RNA". It matches the Rfam family "Bacterial small subunit ribosomal RNA", at positions 355 to 776 of the family's 1533-position model. The record is from RNAcentral. Lineage: Bacteria; Pseudomonadati; Bacteroidota.
UAGGGAAUCUUCCGCAAUGGACGCAAGUCUGACGGAGCAACGCCGCGUGAGUGAAGAAGGAUUUCGGUUCGUAAAACUCUGUUGUUAGAGAAGAACAGCGCAUAGAGUAACUGUUAUGCGUGUGACGGUAUCUAACCAGAAAGCCACGGCUAACUACGUGCCAGCAGCCGCGGUAAUACGUAGUUGGCAAGCGUUGUCCGUAUUUAUUGGGCGUAAAGCGAGCGCAGGCGGUCAAUUAAGUCUGAUGUGCAAGCCCCGGCUCAACCGGGGAGGGUCAUUGGCAACUGGUUGACUUGAGUGCAGAAGAGGAGAGUGGAACUCCAUGUGUAACGGUGAAAUUCGUAGAUAUAUAGAGGAACACCAGUGGCGACGGCCAAUCUCUCGUCUGUAACUGACGCUGGGGUUCGAAAGCGUGGGUAGCAAACAGU